Molecule: long non-coding RNA, 1489 nt
Filed under: Sus scrofa (pig)
Lineage: Eukaryota; Metazoa; Chordata; Mammalia; Artiodactyla; Suidae
Description: lncRNA (ENSSSCG00050047900.1)
Source: RNAcentral
CUUCUUUCUUUCUAAUUUCCACUUCUAAUAAAAUGAGGCUGGUAUGAAUGAUACUAUAUAUGUAUAUAUCACAUCAUAUGUACAUAUAUAAGUAUUAUAUACAUGGUAUAUUUUACAUAUCCCAGCAGUGGAACACCUGCAAAGAAUGACAAACUUUGAAAGAUAGUAGUAACCUUUUUACAGCACAAUGCUCUUAAAAGGAAUGUACAAGUGCUAUGCAAAUCAUUUGCAAAAUGAACUUUUGAUCUUUUUGACCAAAUAAUGCCAGAUUGAGGCCAAGAAGAAAGUAUCCUUCAGUAUCACAUAAUAUGCUUGUGUUCUGCAACUCACCUAGGUUAAUGAAUAAAGAGUCACAUGGAGAAGCAUAAUAACGAAAAUGUCAAAUCCAUGGAAAAUAAGGAAGAGGAAUUGUACCUCCAUCAGCAACUAGCCUCCUUCUCUGUCCCAGUGCUCAGAAAUGCUUCAACAGUAGAAAUCUGUGUAGUAUAGAAGCCACACAUUAAGACUGGGACUCACUUGGUAAGACAAAUUUCUGUGCAAAUAUUUUUCCAAAGUAGAGAUAUGAAGAGGAGUCACUCUCUUUUUUUCAGAAAUGAGUACAGAAAUGAUAGUGAUAGGGGCAGAUAGAAAAUAUCUUUAUUGGUUUUAUUAAGUAAGCAGAUUAACCUAGAAGCAAUCCCCCAACUCAUGCAAACAUUUUUCCCCCAGGCUUCCCCUGAAAAAAGUCAAAGCAGAGAAGAACAAGGUGAUAAGCACACUUACUUUUGAACUUAAGAAAAUAUGUCUCUUUCACCACAGUUGUUCUUUUAACAAAUCAAUUUUUUAAUUGGGUUAUUUGCUCAUAAAUGCUUUAUGAGCAACUUCAAUAGUAACUCACAAGAAAACUGCUUUAGCAAACAUUGAGCAAGUUGAUUCAAGAAAACAACAGUUGCUGUGUGCAAAAGAAAUACCCAAAACAGUGCUUUUUUUUUUUGAGCGUCAUAGAAGUCAGUGUUUUGAGUUCCAGAAUUCAUAGAAUCACCAAAACGAGAAAGUUUGAAAGGAGGAAAGAAUCCCUGCCAAGAUCUGUACCUGUUUUACCUAAUAAUUAUGAUCAGAUUUAAUAUAGCACCUGAGUGAAUGUUUACUUUUAUUAUUGUAACUUCUGUGUAGUUUUGUUUUAAAGCAAGCAUUUACUGUCUUCUACUGCAAACAUCUCACAAUUCAGUCUCCUGGGCAGGAAAAAAAAAAUCUGUGGCUUGACACUUUCAUUUAACUGUGACCUAACCCUGGGUGAUAAAUGACUCUUCUUACCUCAUAAAUUUCUAGCAAUACUUUCUUGGUUUAAUUUGAAUUCAAAACAUGCAAACUGUUCCAAGGGUACUGGAUUUUAGCAAUUGUAUUGGAAUGUUCAGGAUCUUAUUUGAAAGACUGUACCUCUGUUUACCCCUGGUUGAAAUCACUGGCUCUUUUAUUGCCUAGAUGAAGAUGAAGUCCCAAGGGUGGUGGC